This 328-nucleotide long non-coding RNA is filed under the name Rattus norvegicus (Norway rat). RNAcentral describes it as "long non-coding RNA NONRATT008572". The record is from RNAcentral. Lineage: Eukaryota; Metazoa; Chordata; Mammalia; Rodentia; Muridae.
GUAGACUAGAGCGGGUCUCACUUAGUAGAGCGGGUAGACCUCGGAGCUCCUACCUCCCGCAGCGUCGCGGUCCCUAGUGAGCCGCAGCCGGCCAGUGCCAUGAUCCGACAAGACCUCUCCACAUCCUACCAGGAGCUCAGUGAAGAGUUGGAGCAGGUGGUUGAGAACUCGGAGCAGGCAGAUGAACGGGACAAGGAGCUGGUCCAAGUUCAAGGUCCAGGUGUUGUGCCAGGGAUUGCCUUAUACCCCGGUCAGGCUCAGCUGCUCAGCUGUAAGCACCACUAUGAGGUCAUCCCACCUCUUGCCAGCCCUGGCCAGCCCGGAGACA